CGCGUAGGCGGCUUUGUAAGUCAGAUGUGAAAGCCCCGGGCUCAACCUGGGAACUGCAUUUGAUACUGCAAGGCUAGAGAUCGAGAGAGGAAAGUGGAAUUACGAGUGUAGAAGUGAAAUUCGUAGAUAUUCGUAGGAACACCAGUGGCGAAGGCGACUUUCUGGCUCGAUACUGACGCUAAAGCGCGAAAGCGUGGGGAGCAAACA
RNAcentral lists this ribosomal RNA (207 nucleotides) under uncultured bacterium. RNAcentral's name for it is "partial 16S ribosomal RNA". It matches the Rfam family "Bacterial small subunit ribosomal RNA", at positions 568 to 774 of the family's 1533-position model. The record is from RNAcentral.